CUAGCUGUAAACGAUGGAUACUAGGCGUUGAGAGUAUCGACCCUCUCAGUGUCGUAGCUAACGCGUUAAGUAUCCCGCCUGGGGAGUACGCGCGCAAGCGUGAAACUCAAAGGAAUUGACGGGGGCCCGCACAAGCGGUGGAGUAUGUGGUUUAAUUCGAUGCAACGCGAAGAACCUUACCAGGGUUUGACAUGUCCGGAACCCUGCCCAAAGGCGGGGGUGCCUACGGGAACCGGAACACAGGUGGUGC
Molecule: ribosomal RNA, 250 nt
Filed under: uncultured Chroococcidiopsis sp.
Lineage: Bacteria; Bacillati; Cyanobacteriota; Cyanophyceae; Chroococcidiopsidales; Chroococcidiopsidaceae
Description: partial 16S ribosomal RNA
Rfam family: Bacterial small subunit ribosomal RNA
Source: RNAcentral